RNAcentral lists this long non-coding RNA (27751 nucleotides) under Aquilegia coerulea. RNAcentral describes it as "long non-coding RNA (ACOE_LNC000175)". The record is from RNAcentral. Lineage: Eukaryota; Viridiplantae; Streptophyta; Magnoliopsida; Ranunculales; Ranunculaceae.
AUUUCAAUCUGAGUUGAGUGUCAAUAAUUUCACACUAUAUGCUUCUCAGUUGGUGUCAAUUCAUUGGCCAAUUCAAUGGUGACAUCACCAAUACCCUUCUAUCUAUACCACCUAGCACAUACAAGAAAAUAUCCGAAUUGAAAUUGAGAAUGCCCAAGGCAACAAACAGGUAACAAAGCAAUCUAGUCGUCAUUUUGACAAGAAACCUUUUUUUACUAUUCUAUUUGCUUAGCUAACACAACGCAAAUAUGUAAUACAUCCAUUCAUCACCUUUGGAAACCUUAGGAUCAACUGCAAAAGAGUUGCACAUACACACACAAAAAGACUGCAGAAGACAUGAUCAUUGAGAGUUGUCAAUUUCACACUAUAUGUUGCUUCUCAAUUUGUGUUGAUUUGUUGACCAAUUCAAUGACGACGCCACUAGUACCAUUAUACCUAUACCACCUAACGCAUACUAGAAAAUAUGUGAAAUUGAGAAUGUCCAAGGCAACAAACAUGUAAUAAAAGUAAUCCAGUCUUCCUUUAAAAUCCUCAGGUAACCAGUUUUCAGUUAGUGAUUUUGCAGUAACACGAUGAAUAAGUGACACUAAGAAUCCACAAAGACUACAGUCCUAUAAGUUUGUGCAAUGUCAUCUAUAAAAUCAUCACUAAAAUUCUUGCCAAUGGACUCAAAACCCACCUACCAAAAAUCAUCUCACCCACCUAAGGUGCCUUUACACCUGGAAAAGCUAUUGGAGACAACAUUGGUAUUGUGCAUGAGGUGAUCCACAAAAUCAAGAGAAUGGGGAGGAAAGAAAAAGGGUGGUUCACUCUAAAACUAGACAUGGCGAAAGGAUAUGACAGAAUUGAAUGAAGUUUCUUGUUGGAUAUUUUUGAAUGGCUUGGAUUUAGUGAUAGCUGGUGUAGUAUGAUAAAGUUCUGCCUCUCCACAGUUUCUUAUAGAAUCCUGUUAAAUGGAUACUCCAUAAAUGAAUUUAAGCCUGACAAGGGCCUGAGACAGUGCGACCCUCUUUCCCCUUACCUGUUCAUUAUGGUAAGCGAAGCUUUGUCCAGACUACUAGCUAAAACAAAAGUGGAGAAGAAAAUAACAGGUUUUAAGGUGUCAAUGAAGGCACCGACAAUCAGCCACCUAUUAUAUGCAGAUGACUUGAUUAUCUUUGGGAAGACAACAUUGGCAGAGGUCAGGAAUCUGAAAGAAAUUCUGGAUGAAUAUUGUGCUGCAUCUGGACAACUAGUGAAUUUUGAAAAGUCGAGGAUCUUCCUUAGUAAGUCUAUCCAUCAUAGACACAAAAGGAUGAUUAAAAGUGUCCUAAAGGUUGGUGAUCUAACAGUGAAGGAUAAAUAUUUCAGAACACCUUUGAUUUUAUCUAGAUCCAGAAUCAAGGAUUUUUCUUAUCUAGAUGACCAAAUGAAAGGGAGGAUGGAAGUAGGGGUGGCAAUCAUACCUGACGACCCGAAACCCGACCUGAACCUGACCUGAACUGGGUCAGGUUUGGGUUUGAGUAUUUGAGGUUUUGGGCCUGAUCAGGUCGACCCGAUUGACCUGAUAUGUAAUCAGGUCAGGUUCAGGUUUCCCUUCCAGACCUGUCGGGUCGACCCGAAACCUGACCAAAAUAAACCUACUCCAUUUUUUAAUCUCUCGAAACUAAAGCCUCAAAACAUUCUCUGCGCCGUUUUCUAAAUGGAUGAGGAAGAAGAAGAGGUUUCAGCAACUUGGAUUCGAUCUACCUUAUUCUUCAACUGCUCAUUCAUCAUCAGUUGUCAUCUAAUCGGCCUCCACGAGAAAUCUGAACACUUUCUUUCUCUCUAUUUCUUCAAACUUUAAAGAUUCAUAAAGAGAGUUUCCCUUUUUUCCAGUCAACAAUAGAAAGGUAAAUUUUUGAGUUAAUCUUGUGUUUUUUAUGUUUUUUUUUACUAUUUUCAAUUUGAUCUUAUUGCUAUAGAUUUCAAUUGCACUUAAAACACCCAUUUUCUUAGUAACAACUGAUUGAUUAGUGAGUUGUUUUAGUGAUUAGUGGAAAUUUUAUGUAAGUUUGUUUCAAAAAUAUUGAAUUCUCGUAUUCUGUUUGAUGUAUUUGUUGUACAAAGUUAAGAAAUUGGAUGAGCAAUCUUGUGUUUUUCAAUUUGUAAAACACUAAUGGAUUGCAAUUUUACACUAUUUCAUUACCAUACAUUCUAAGUGUAGAAACAUGGUACACUGCCCAAAUUUUGGUACUCUGUAAAUGGAGUUGUCAACUGCUGGUAGGGGAACAACUAUCAAUAUAUUACUGCUAAGUGACACCUUAGGUACUCUUUAAUAGCCUUUGACACUUUUUAGUGUUCUGUAGACUUGUUUUGUCACAACUCAUGUGGAGGAAUAGAAAAAAUGACUCUAAUUGUCGUUCAAUGUUGAGUUCUUAUUGAACUAUAUAUUUUUUGCCUCUUAACUUAUAAGAAGACAAAUAAAGGGUGAAUCUGUUAGUAAGGACAUUCAUUAUUCAAACUAAGUGUCAUAUAUGCAUAUUAGCUAUUGAUUUGUGUAUCGUGUGUUAAGCAUUUGUGAUAAGCAAUGGAUUCAGGGUAGUCACAUUUUGUAUUAUCAUUGAAUUGUUAGUCCUUGUGUUUUCAUUUUGUUUUGAUUUGAAAGAUCAUACUUAGAUACACUACAUCUGGACAAGGGAUGAAUGGUUGUCUUUAAUUUUUUGUGUACGUCUUAAAUUACAUUAGACUAUUGAGUAAGAAACUAUAGUGCCAACUGCCAAGGCUUUAUAUAGUCUUUCUCAUGUUAAGCAAGUGUCGAGCUUGGUAACUAGUUUUGAGUAUGUUUGGUCUUGAAACAACACAAUGAUUUAUGCCCUAAUUGUUUUACUGUGUAGCUAAUGUUUAAAGUAUUUUCUCAUUCUCAUUUUAAUGCAAUUAUACGAUCCUAUGCAUUUUCCAGAUUUACAAAUCAUGUUCCCUCAAUGCAGUUUUAUCUAAUUGUGUGUUGGUGUUAGGGUAUUGGCAUAUUGCACAACAAACGGGUGGUCUAAGGUAAUGCCUAUCGUUCCAAAGGAAAGUCAAGGUGGAAGGGUCGAGACAAGAGAAAAAAGAAAAAACAUAUGUUGGACUACAGGCAAAUAUAUAGUUUCGUGGAAGGAAAGCAUGGAAAUGAUCUGGACUAUGGAGUCAGUUUCGAUCCUAAUUACAUAUAGGAUUAUGGAGUUAGUUUCAAUUUUCAAAGUAAAUUGUUGUUGUGGCAGUAGACCAAUACUCUUGUUUCUUGAGACACUCAAGUUGUUCCAUUGUUUAAUAUAUUGUAAGUUGCAGAAUGGAUUUUUUUUUUCACAAAUUUGAAAGAGCUACUGAAAAUUAUCUAUUAACUAGAUUAAAUUUUGCAAGUACGUACAAAUGUAUCAGGUUUUCAGGUCGACCUGAACCUGACCUGAUAACCUGACAGGUCAGGUUCAGGUUUCCAUUUUGAGCAAAAACAAGUCAUCAGGUCAGGUUCAGGUUUUGGGCUUGAGACCUGAAAACCCGACCGACCUGACCCGAACCUGACAUGACCCGACCUGAUUGCCAGCCCUAGAUGGAAGCCUGGAAAUCAAGUGUUUUGUCUAUGGCUGGUAGGGGGUAAUGAUUAAAGCUGUAGCAGAAUCUUUACCAGUAUACUCUAAGUCAACUUUUUUAAUACCUAAAACCAUUUCUGACAAGCUAGAUAAAACUUGUAGAGAUUUCUGGUGGUGUGGUACAAAGUAACAAAAAUCCAUUCACUUAUGCAGAUGGUCUACCAUUUGCAAAAAUAAGAGAGAUGGAGGUCUUGGAUUUAGGAAGUUCAGAAACACGAACCUUGUACUUUUGUCUAAACUAUACUGGAAGCUGCUUACUGAUCCUAAUGCCUUGUGGUCUAAAGUAAUGAUGGAGAAAUAUGAAAAAUAUCUUACUCUUGAGUCUUGAUAGCAACAUUGAAGCACCGCCGUGGGCUCACCUAUCCUCAAAGGUAUUUUAGCUACUAAGGAGAUUAUAAGAAGAGGGUGUAUCUGGAGUUUGGGAGAUGGGAAAACAACAAAAUUUUGGAAAGACCCUUUGUUAUUGUUUUUUGGGAAACCGAUGAGUUUGUGUGAGCUUUGGCCGGAAGGUUCAUCUACUGAUUGUACUGUGUCAAAUUUUCUGAAUACUAAUGGAACUUGGAAAAUAUCCCUUCUGAGAGAUUUUCCCCUUCCUAUAAAAGAAUCCAUUAUGAAAGUGAUCACUAGACCAAGCACUGGAGAUAGAAGAAUGUGGUGUCUUACAAAAAAAAAAAAAGGUACUUUUAGUGUCAAAUCUGUUUACUGGGAUGUCAGUGAUCUGGAAACCAAUGGUGCUACAUCUUCUAACUUUGUCCUAUCUUCCAUUAACACCUAUAUUUGGAGCACAAAGUUGCCCUCUGACCUUCAGCUCUUCCUGUGGAGAGCUACCCAUAAUAUAUUGCCAACUACCAAUAAACUCAACUUGCACCACCUCAAUAUUGAUCCAGUUUAUAUGAUGUGUGGGAGGGAAAGAGAGACUAUCCAUCAUAUCCUUUUUUACCGUCCUUGGACUUUAAAAGUGUGGCUUAGCUCACCUCUGUCUAUUAGAAUAUACCAAAAUUCUUGUGAUGGUGUUAGCUGGAUUAAUUUUUUCAAAAGCAUAGAGGAACAGGAUGACCAUAAUAUAAAUCGAAUUUUCUUUAGCUUAUCACAUUAUGCUAUCCAUUUGGAGAGCGAGGAACAUUAUUAGAUUUGAUAAUCAACAAUUUACUUGUGAUAACACAAUAGCAUGGGUUGUGCAUGAAUACAAUAGUUGGUUGAAUGCUCUGGAGUUUGUCCCUACAUCUAGUUUGCUCACUGUGGGAUCCCCUUCCGUGGGAAUGGGACACACAGAACCUGUUUAGAUCCAUCAUCCUCCUAGGUGGCUAAAAGUGAAUUUUGAUGCAAGUUUUUUCAAAUAGAAUGGUCUAGGAGUUGUGGCUGUGAUAGUAAAAGAUUCAGAGGGAAGGAUUGUGGCAGGUGACACAACAAAAAUUAAAGCAAAGGAGACGGGGGAGGCGAAAUUUCAAGCAGUUGAAAUGGCCCUCAAGUUUGCUCUGGACAGAAAUUUUGUGGAUGUCAUAAUUGAAGGAGACAACUCCAAUGUCAUAGCAUGCUUACAGAAGAAGACUACACCCCCAUGGAACACCAGAUCUCUCGUAGAAUUUAUCCAGCUUAUGUAUUGUCAAUUUAGAAAUCUGUCUUUCAUUCAUGUUGUCAGGUCUGUUAAUGUGUUGCCCAUAAACUGGCUAAAUGGGCGUGGGAGUUAGGCACUGUGGACUGGAACCCGAUUCAGUCAGACCUGAUAUGUUCUAUUGUUGGUCAUUUUAAUGAAUUAGAAACCCCUGACUAGCACUAUGCUAAUUGGGAGGCUUUUAUCAAAAAAAAUAAAAAAUAAAAAAAUCCAUAAAGAUAAUUUGCUCCUGGCAUGGUACAAUAAAUGAAUGUUAGAAAUAAAAAUUAAACUAAAUAUUACUUCGGGUAGCUGCAAAUCAAAAUGAACAAACCGAAUUAAAUUAGUGGCUGAAUCGUGGACUAGGUCGCUCUCUUUAAGAUGUUUUAUGGCUUUGCCUCUGUUAUAGUCACGCCGUCCCCAGGAUAAAACAACCAAAAUCUAUGUCGAAUUCCUUUUGCACAAGGAAGAAUUCGUUCUCACUUUACCACUCUUUCUUAUUCAAGAAAGCAUAAAGAAAAACUAUUUUUUCUUGUGUGUGUCUCUCUUAUCCACUAGUCCUUUUAUAGCUAAAAAAGAGAUGUUAAUGGUGGAGAAAAUCUCUCUUAAGAUUAAACCAUAACAGUAAAAAACGGCUAGUGAAAGAAGACUAGUCAAAUCAGCACGUUUUAAGCAAUUAAAAUGCUAGGGUUUAAAGACUUAAAAAUUUUUGGGAGCAAUCUUUGUUAGGGGAUUUCUAAUUUUGUGUUCUUUUUGUAAAGGGUGUAAGAGCAUUCCCACUGCAGGGUGGAUUUAUCCACCUCCACAUAGGCGCCAGGUAUGUGCCACUAGGAUAAAUCCACCUUGUUGACUCAAGGUGAAACUCUACAAGGUGGAGAGUUGCCAAGGGAAGGUGGACUCUAUGUUAAUAAGAAGUGGAUUUUUUAAAAAAUCCGGACGACAUGUCACAUGCUGUCCCAAUUUUUUUGCAAAAAAAUAGGGAGACGGCAUGUGACAUGUCCUCCAAGAGACCAAAAGUUUUAAAACACUACGUAAAACUUAAAAAAAAAACGGACGACAUGUGACAUGCCGUCCGAUUGUAAUUUAAAUUAGGACGGCAUGUGACAUGCCGUCCGGUUUUACCACCUGUGGGAUCCCACUUUUGAAAAUCCACCUUCCUUUGGGACAUUAUUUUGAGUUUCAAGGUUGAUUUAUCCACCUCACCCCCAAAAUCCACCUUGCAUUGGGAAUGCUCUAAGAGUGAGUUGUGUGAGAUAUUAUCAUGUAAUACUUUUUGGUUAAAGAUAAUAAAGUUCCUUUAUUUUGUCUGUGGUGGUUUAUUCCCUACAAGAGUUCCACCAUAUAUAUUUUAUGCGGUUAAUUUUAUUUUUUAUUAUCAUUACUUGUUUCUUACAUAUCUUUGGGUUAUUCGGAUUUUGCCCAACUGUCUUCGGAAGUGAUAUAAACAAAUCAUCACCUAUGGAAACCCUAGAAUCAACCGGAGAUAGAUGACUUUAAUCUCACCCCAAGUUGAGUGUCAUUAAUUUCACACUAUGUGCAGUGUCGAUUCCGUUGGCAAAUAAGAGUGACAUACUGACAUCAGCUUUAUUGUAUUGAUCAUUGGACUAUGGACAUUUAUUGGACCUGACUAUUGGGCCUUAUCAGGUGCUAGGUCCAGACACAGUCCAUUAGCGGACAUGUAAACAAAAACCCUAUCUGAUGGUUGUCGUUCUUAUUUGCCAACGGUCAUGUUUUCAAAACUUCAGUUAGGAUUAGGACUCACUACCUGUUUGACGAAAUGCCUCAAACAAUACUCUACAAUUCCACACGACCACACUCGUCAUCAUCUACCAACAACUUCAUGAUUCGAGCUUCCAUGGAAAACGGUUCCCCUUUAAAGGCAUUAUUACUUGAUUACAAAACUCUUCUUCUCUCUGGUUUAUUCCAACCUGAUUAUAGAACAUAUCUAGUGUACUUGAAGCUUGUAAAAUGUUAAAUGACCUUAAAAACUACAUUGGGGACUCAUUCAAGGAUUAUAAAAUCUGGGUUUGAAUCAAACCAAUCUUUGUUGACUUUUGUUGUUUGUGAUCACACUUAUUAUGGUCGUCAAGUGCAUGAUGAAAUUCCUGAGUGGGGUUUUAAUAUUGUUUCGGCAAAUGUACUUAUUGCUAGUUAUUUGAAACUGGGAGAGUUUGAUGAACCUAAUUGGAUAUUUCGUAAAAUGUAUCGUAGAGAUGUUGUUUCAUGGAAUUCAAUGGUCAUGGGGUGUGCUAGAAAUGCUCGUCCAAAGGAGGCUAUAAGUUUGUUUCGUAAAAUGAUUAAGUCAGGUUUUGAACCUGAUGGAUUCUCUUUCACAUCAGUUUUUACUGCUUGUAGUAGAAUUGGAGCUUUGAGUCAUGGAGAAUGGGCUCAUGGCUUAGUGGUUGAAAAGGGAGUUGAGACUAAUUUCAUAUUGAGUCCUGCGUUGAUUGACAUGUAUUCGAAAUGUUGAAACAUUAGGUUGGAUAAGAAUGUAUUUGAUAGUGUUUGUAGAGAUGAUGUAUUCAUGGGCUUGCUUUAGAUCAUUAGAUGCAAUGACAUUUUUCUCACGAACCAAGGAUGAAAAUGUUUUGCCUGACUCAAUCACCUUUGUUGGAUUAUUAACUGCUUGUAGUCAUUGUGGUCUAGUUGAAGAGGGUCAGCAAUUCUUUGAAAGUAUGAAAAGGUAAUCCUUCAUUGACCCCCAACUUGAGCAUUAUGGAGCAAUGGUCGAUCUUUUGGGCCGAGCUGGCUGUGUGGGAGAAGCUUAUAGAAUGAUCAAAGAAAUACCUAUGGAACCAGAUGUUGUUAUAUGGAGGGCAUUGCUUAGUGCCUGUAGAACUCAGGUCAGGUCCAAUUUGGGUGAAUUUGCUGUUGAAGAAAUAUCACAUUUUGAGAUGUAUAAAAUGAACUCUUUUGCAAGGAGAUGGGAUAAUGUAGAAAAAUUGCGGAAGUAAUGAAAAAGAAGGGAGUAAGGAAAAAUCGUGGAUUGAGAUGGGAGGUAUCAUUCACCAAUUUAAGGCGGGCGAUUGAUCACACCCUGAUUCCAACGCCAUUUAUAGGGUGUUGGAUGGAUUGAUCCAAAGGAUCAAGAUUGAUGGGUUUGGAAACAGUGGAACUGGUUUUGAUGGAUGUUUCUGAGGAGGAAAAGGAGAGUAAUUUGAAUAGUCAUAGUGAGAAGCUUGCGACCGCAUCUGGGAUCCUUAGGACUAGCCCAGGAACAGAAAUUAAGAUAUCAAAGAAUCUUCGAAUUUGCUACGAUUGCCAUUCUUGGCUGAAAAUGGUUUCAAAAGUACUAUAUAGGGUGAUAAUCACGAGGGAUCAAAAUUCGUUUUCAUCGAUUUGAAAGUGGUUCAUGCACUUGUAAAGACUACUGGUAGUCAGUGUAUGCAUGUGGGUGUGACUCUUUUGAAGUUACCAUAAUGGUGGGGGUUACCAGAUAACAAAGUACAAGAACUGAUUUGAUUCUUUACUAAGGUAUUAUAUUAAUUAUUUCUUUAUUUGAAUCAUUUUUUUUUACUUAGUAAUUAGUAUCAAAUCAAAGUUUGCCGUCACCUCAUCAUGUCUGCCAAAUAGAUCUGUAAUUUUUCGUGAUUUUAAAAUCUCGAAGAAAAAAUAAGAGGAAAUAUUUGUUUUCGAACAAAGGACUAGACUAUCAAGAGCUAUCAAAAACAUACCAGUCUUUACGCCAUGAGUAUGGUGAGAAUGAGAGAGGGUUUAGUUUCAAAAACAGAAAGCUACACAUAUUUGAGUUUACCGUUUUUUCUUUUAUGGUUUUUUCUUUUAUGGUUAUGUUAUUGCUAGUGAGUCCUCAAUAGGUGGUCUGUAUAGGUGUUUUGGUCUGUACAUGGCGAGUUUGUCCUCUAAAGGAUUAUAGAUGAUAUAUACAUGAUGAUGCACUUUCAAGCAUUAAAAAUCUGAUUCAUAAAUUCUUUGUGUAAGCAAAUAAAUAGUGUGAUUCAACUUUUGGAUACCAUAUAUGAUACAGAAAUUGAGUCCUAAUUCAAAUAUAUACUAACACAGAGCUCACUAUUUCAAGCAUGGCUAUAAUACAGUAGUUGCAUAUGAAUUGAACAGAAGUUACAUUGAACAGAAGUUACUUCAAAAUAUAUACAUCUGAUUAAAACUAUAUGUAAGUGAAUCUCUCCUGACUUAUAUAUGAUGCAGUCUAACCUAUGAUGUUCCUAGCUUUGAUAAUCAAGUUUCUAAUCCAACAUAUUAUAAGGCUUAUACAAGGUAAAACUAAACAAACAUAUAUAAUCAUGAUUUUUUUUCUUUUAUGGUUUUGUUUCAAACAGAAUAGGACCUCCACCACAUUCACAUGUUAAUCUGAAUCCUACAUGAUACUACUACAAGCUGCUUGAACUGAACAACACAUAGUAGAAGCUGUUAGUAUUACAUUAUAAUCAUGGAAAAAUACACAUGUUGCUAUUAUUCCAUUUAGAAGACCAUAACCACACAACGAAGCAAAGUUAAUUUGCUGCUUUAUGCUCAGUGCCAAUUGACAAGGCUGUCAAAGUGAUGAAACAGUGGUCGAGUGGUCACGCCUCUUUCUGUGUCUGAGAGAUCCAGUGUUUUGGAAAAACCAUUUUCCAAGUCAAGAAAUAUUAUUGUGUUGGCGUGGUGAAUUAGAAGUACAGACCUUCUUUGAUAGCUGGUAGGAGAAGAAAAGACGCGUGCAGGGUUCGUUAAUUCCAUUGGAUGAAGAUUGAUUGUGCGUUCCUUUCUCCAGUGGCCGGCAUGUAGCCCCCAGAGGUCCAGCUGAUGGCAAUUUGUGAUUGCAUCCGUGAGGCAUAUAACAUCGUUGAACUCCAGUAUGCUGCCAGAUCGGCCAAUUUGGCAUGUGAUUUGAUGUGGAAGUUUUGCUUCGCUGAAUCUCAUAUCCUCUGCAUUCAUAGAGUACAAAUAUGUUGCCCCGUCUGAGUUUUUGCAUCCAAACCAGUGGUACUCCUUUUUAACAACACUCAUAGUGGUGUAGGUGGAGACAAUUUGAGAAAUGCCAAAACCUGUUUGUAUUUCUUGCCAUCCAAUAGGGUUCCCUUCUGUGAAGACAAAACAUACUGUUGAGUCCCUCGAGACGACAAUGACCUUAUACUUGAUUUCAUCAAAAAGCUCCUCAGGAGCCAAAGCAAAAUGCCAGAUGCAAUGUGAAGUAUGUAUGACCGGAAGCUUGGUACAAUGGCCAGUUACGGGAUUGCAAACGUAAAGCUGAUUUGGCUUGCUCGUGCUUUCUAAUAGUAAUAAUCCAUCGUAUGAAGCCUUGAAGAAGAUAUUAUCGUGUAAAGUUUUCGAAAAGAAGUCUAUGAUCUCUCGAUACAACUCAAAUGGCUUUUCUGCUUUUGUUUUUCUAAUAUCUUCUUUCAUUUUAACAGAAAAGUAAUCACGGUGAUAUGGCCUUGGACAUGUUCUCUCGUAGACAAAACGUUUUUCAAAAGGAAAAUCUUUAUGGAAAGAUAUUAAAUGGUUGCUUGCAAAACUUGGAGAUGACAUUAAUUUGAACCAGAAUUUACAUACCAUUUUCACCUGAAUAAGGAAUGUUGCUGGUAGUUUGAGCAAGAAUUGGGUUUCAAUGUCAUCUUCAAGAAUAGGAGGACGAACAUGAUGAAGAGUCACUUCUUUAAUCUCUGUCAACAAGAACAAAGCUUCAAACUCUGCAAGUGUGGGAAGAAUCUGUGGAUAGAGCACCUCUGAAAUCCCAAAAUCAACAACAACGGGAAGAAAUUCUGGAAAGAUCACCUCUGAAAUCUCACGGGUAUAUGCUCUUGCUUUAUUCUUUUUAGCUGCUCUUGCAUCAUUCUUUAUCGAAUGCAUUUUCUUGAAUAUGCUCAUGGUGUCUUUAUACUUAUUAGCUCUUUUCUUCUUGAAAGACCUUAAUACUCUGAACUUGCUUCUUCUUCUUCUUCUUUCUCUUCCUCUGCUUGAGGCCAUAUUCAGUUUUUCUUGAAACAACAAUGAUCGAUGAAACUCCGACUCUGUUCGUGUUACUUGUGUGACUUGGGUGCAGUUUAUAAUUCGAAAUUCUCAAUCCGCACAAUUAUAUAGAUAUAGAUAUAUAUAUAGAGGCGGCGAAAGAAUUUUGGAGAGACUGUAAUGAACGGUUAUUGGGCUUUAUUUACUUUAACGUCCAAGCCCAACGUUACUCCUUUUCUUGUUCUUCUUCUUCCUGAUCACAUCACAAUCCCUCGUUUCCUUGGUUUUCGUUUCCUUGGUUUGAACUUUGAACUCUUAAUUAGAAUUAAAAGUUUAGAUUUUUAUUGUUUUUGUUUGGAUAUGAAAGUGAUUUAAAUUAUGGAAUAAGUGAUUCUGUAUUGGUAAAGAGGGAUUUCGCAUAUUCUACACUACUUAUUACUCAUUUUGGGAGAGUGGGGGUUAUUUGAUUUGAUAGUUGAUACCCAUUUUGUGAUUUUGAGUUAAUUUGUCUCUGUUGGUGAUUUAAAUUUUGUGUUUUUAGAUCUGCUACAUACAUUUUUCAUAUUUGCGGAGGGAUCUCAAUUUCAUUGACCACACUAGUAAUUGGUGAUGGGGAAAUGCUUAAACGUAGCCGUACCCUUCUCUUCAGUCUUCAUAUUGUAUAUUUGAAUUUUUGAUGCUCUAAUUGUAUUGAUGAAUUGUUGAAUGAAGUUUGCUUUGGUUGUGUAGAUUUCAGCGGGCAAAACCGAUAAUCAUAAAUCCAGGGUUGUAUAUGACUAAGAAAGCUGAUGUCUUUGGGAUAACACAGAGAAGAAGUGUUACCACUGCUUUCCAACUCUUUACAGGUGAAAUUACAUCAAUAUUUUUUUACUAUUAAUGAUUUGGGGUUCUGCUUCAUUCAUUCAUUCAUUUAAGUUUGAUCUAUAUUAUUGCCUUCCAUUUAAUUUCAGAGUCAUAGUUUAGAUAAUUGGUCUUUUUUAAAGAAAUUUUGUUGAUAGAAGUUGUAGGUUUUGAUUAUGUAUAAAACAGAUGGCAUUAUGAAGUCUAAUGGUUAUCUACUUACAAGUUCAUGGAAUGCAUCUGAUGCUUUCCAUUGUUUCCUUCACUGGUAUCACCAAUAUUUAUGUGACCAUCUCCUUUUAUGCACUUGAUGUGACGAGUUUCAAACUUUAUUAGACAAAAAUACUAUUACAAUUGCUCUAGUGCUGAAUGCUUAUGGAAAGUUGCACGUUUUUGAGAAGGCGAGCUUCUAUAUAAUGAGAUUGAAGAAUGGGGUUGUGUUUUCCCUGAUGAAGUACACUUUUUAAACGGGGCACAGGGGAAUCUUGAGGCAGUGGAAUCGUUGUUUGAUAGCCUGGAGUGUAAUACCAAUGUAAACAAGUGAGAAUUGAUGAUGUGUCGAGAAUUAUCGAAAGGCGAAAAUAAAGAGGACUUACGGAAGCAUUGACAUCAUAAAUUCAUAGGGAUGGUUAUUCUUGGUGACCAAUUGUCAAUAACCAUGCAAUUGUUAUUGAGGUCUGAGAAGAUGAGAGCAGCUAGGUAUUUUCUUUGAUUCUACUACAACUGCUCUAGUGCUGGAUAUUUUCUGAAUGUUUGUUGCUCAUAUUCAAGAAGGCAGAGUUUCUGUAUAAAGAAUAAAGAGAAGCAAGUAGAGGGUUUUGUUUUCUGUAAACAAGUACAGUUCAAAAUGCUAAGCCUAUGUUGUGCACAAGGGACUAUCGAUGAGUUAUCGUUUGAGAGUGUGGUGUCUAAUCCCAGUGUAAACAUGCUAGGGAAGUUAAUCUUUUGGUUCCAGCAUUUUCAAAAUUAGAGAAACUGGCAAGAUGAUGCAUCUAGACGACUAGACUUAGAAGUCCAGGAAGCAAAAGGAAACUUACAGAAGCAUCUGCGCCAUAAAGACAUGAUAAUAGAUAAUCAUAAUAGCCAGUGUAAUUUCAUAGUAAAUGUUAUAUUAUGCUCCCGCGUUACAUUUUUAAUUGGUUACUAUGAUUCUCAACUGUCAGUAAGGAACCCCUUACGAUGAUGCUUGUUUGAGUAUUACUUCCUAGGGUAGGCUUUACGAUCAUCACCUUUCUUUUACCCCUCCCUCCCACACUCAGCUCUGAUGUUCAUAUCCAUUCAGUAAUGCAUUUCUCUCACACUCUGCUCUGACGAUUCUCUUUUAUUUCAUUAAUACAUUUCCUCAGGUUGAGAUUGGACUUUGAUGGUUUAAAGUCUUCUUACUUCGUGGUUGAGCUUCUAGUUUUUUCCAGACUUGGUUGGGCUAAAAUUGUCAACCUUUUCUUUUAUGGUUUAGUUUCAAACACAGAGCACUCUACACAUAUUCCAGUUCACUUGUUUUCUUUGAUUCUUUCAUGGUUUUAUUUUAAACAGAAUAGGACCUCCACUACAUUCACAUGUUAAUCUGAAUCCUACAUGAUACUAGUAAAACCUGGUUUUAGUGAACAUAGUGUUACGGCAAAGUACAUUCACAUAGUAGAAACUGAUAGUAUUAGGAUCUUAACUAUUAUUAUGGCAAAGUACACAUAUUACUAUUAUUUCAUCAUUCAGAAAAUCAAAACCACACAACCACAAAUCUGACAAACUCUUUCACUGUUAAGGUUCGAAAACCCCUUUCGCUUUAUUGUUUGCUAUCUCAGCUGUCAGUAAGAAACCCCUUAGAUGAUAAAAUGUUCUGAGUACUACGUAGUAGAGGGCUUCCUGCCUUGUUUGCACUAUGUUUCUUCUAGUAAGUACCCCCUCCCUCCCAUUGUGCCACAGUCAGCGUUGAUGAUCAUUUCCUUUCAAUAGUACAUUAUGCUCAUGCUCUACUCUGAUGAUGCUCUUUACAGGUGAAAUUGUUCUCCUAUAUGGUGUUUCUCACCAUAUCUUCUUCUACUACUAGACACAUUUAUAGAAGAAAUUCAAACAACCCCACAAACACAAACACAAACACUUCUACUUCACCUUUCCAUCAUCAUCACUGUUAAUCCCAAGUUUAUUUAGACCACCAUGUUGAUAUGGAUGAUCUUAUGUUAUCCAAGUCAAACUUGAACACCACAAGACCUCUACUCUUUACUUUCACCGUAUAAAGGUAGACAACUUUCUCUUCGUUUCAUGGUUUCCCUCCUUUCUCGUGAAUCUGAUUGGCAACGCACUCUUACUCUUCUCGAUUGGAUGGUUGAAGAAGUAUGUUAUGUUCCUUCGGUUUUUGCUUACAAUGUAACCAUUCGUAAUGUUCUUAGAGCUAAACAAUGAGAAUUUGCAUCAGGACUAGUUGAAGAAAUGCGUCAAAGAGCGAUUUCGCCUCAUCCUUUUACUUAUUCUACGGUUAUUACUCAUUUUGGGAAAGAGGGCUUGUUUGAUUCUGCUUUGUCUUGGUUACAACAUAUGGAGCAAGACCAAAUUCGAGGUGACCUUGUUUUGUAUAGUAAUCUUAUCGAGCUUUUGCGCAAACCUCAUGAUUAUUGUAAAGCAAUAUCUUUUUUUAUCGAGAUAAAAGAGUUCAGGUAUUACUCCUGAUCUUGUUGCUUACAAUUCCAUGAUCAAUGUGUUUGGAAAAGCUAAGCUUUUUCGUGAAGCAAAACAGCUUAUUUACGAAAUGAGAGAAGCUGGGGUUGCUCCUGAUACUUUUAGUUAUUCUGCACUUAUUAGUACUUUUGUUGAGAAUUAGAGAUUUAUUGAGGAAUUAUCUAUCUUCUCUGAGAUGAAAGAAGUUAGAUGUCGUUUUGAUCUCACUACGUGUAAUAUAAUGAUUGAUGUAUAUGGUCAGCUUGAUAUGGCUAAAGAAGCAGAUAGACUGUUCUGGAGUAUGACAAAAAUGGAAAUUGAAUCCAAUGUUGAAAGCUAUAAUCCUCAUUUGAGGGUGUAUUGUGACACUGAGUUAUUUGGGGAAGCUAUUCAUUUAUUUUGGUUAAUGCAGAAGUAGGAUAUUGACCAGAAUGUUGUUACAUACAAUACAACGAUCAAACUUUAUGGAAAAUCGUUGGAGCGUGAGAAGGACACGAAUCUUGUGCAAGAGAUGCAGACUCUAGGGAUUGAGCCAAAUGUUGUUACUUAUUCGACAUUCAUCUCAAUAUGGGCAAAGGCAGGGAAACUGGAUAGGGCGGCAAUGCUGUUUCAAAAGCUAAGAACCUCUGGGGUUGAGAUUGAUCAAGUUCUGUACCAAACGAUGAUUGUGGCGUAUGAAAGGGCAGGUUUUUGGUUGCAUGAUUGAUCUCUUGUCAAGGAACAAAAAGCAUGCAAAUGUUAUUGAGGUGUUUGAGAAGAUGAAAGCAGCUGGAUAUUUUCCCGAUUCUAUUACAAUCGCUUUAGUGCUGAAUGCUUAUGGGAAAGAGAUGCAAGAAGAGGUUGCGUUUUUCCUGAUAAAGUACUCGUUCAAAUGUUGAGCCUUGAUGGGGCACAACUCACAAGGAAAUCUUGAGGCAGAGCCUGGAGUGUGAUCCCAAUGUAAACAAGCGAGAGCUUAAUCUUGUGGUUUUGAUGCAGCGAAAGCUAAAAUAAACUUAAUCUAACAAUUGAAAUUGCAAGGAAUUGAAAUAACGGAAAGAAAUUGCAAUAAGUAAAAGCUGAAAUUUAAAUAACUUGAAAGUAAAUUGCAGAAAUUAAAGAACUUGAAAUAAAACUUAAUUGAAAGACAAUAAUCUAAAUAAUAAAUAAUAAAUUCAUCAAUCAUCAAUCUUGGCUAAGAAAUUCGUUUUUGGAGCUCUUUAUAUAGAUAACUCCCUUGACACAACUAGGAAACCUACUAGAACUUGAAUUACUUGUUCCCUAAUGUAUGUAUUACCUUUUGGCAACUUCCUAAGCCUAUUAGAACUCAAAAUAAGACUUCUAGACACUUCUAAAGACACUCUAAGUAAUAAAAGCGAAAAUAACAAUUUAGAAAUACUAUUUAGGCUUCUAAAUAAAUCAUAAACCCAAAUAGGAAACCAAUUGGUGUAUGUGUUCUGUCCUACAUCAGGUUUCCAGCAUUAUUGAACUACAAAAUAAGUGACUAGAUGUUGCAUAAAAAAUAAGCAGUCAAAGAAGCAAAAGAGGACUUAUAGAAGCAUUGACAUCGUAAAAUCAUGACAAUGGUUACUCAUGGUAACCAAUUGUAAAUUGCACAGGUGUUGUUUGUAAUUCUCUGUUGACGUAUAUAGCUUCUUGUAGCUCAUCUUUGAUAACUUUAGUUUCAUAGUUUAUUAAAAAAUGUAUCUUUGGUGAUAACUAUUGUUUUAUACAUUUGUUGGUUAUUUGCAGAGUAUUAGGUUAGUAAUGCUUCAUCGCUCGUUUUAUCUUACAUUUCCUGCUCAGGUAGUUGACAUACUGGUAGGUUCUUUUUCUUUGUGGGUUGAUAGAUAUAAUUUUUUUUUUACUUACGCUCUGCAUACCUUGCUUUUCUGGUCUUAUUUUUCAGAUCAAUUCUUAUGGACUCAUCUUUCUUUAUGUUUGCCUCCUGCAAUUUUUUUCUCUCAUUAACUAAAGCCGUAAAACUUUUGUUGUUUCCUUCUGUGGCUACAUACAUGGGGUGAAGUGAUGAGUGUAGUGUCUGUAUGGAUAUUGUUAACUACUGAGUAUAGUUAUGAAUAAUAUAGUGAUUUGAUUAUGUAAAAUGAAAAUUUAUUGGUCUACCAUUGGAAGAUAUUGAGCACUGUUGCCAGGUAUUCAUUACUAGCAAGAUACCAUAUAACUUAUUUCUUUCAUUACCUUCACUUUUGCUUUGCUUCUAUUUUCAACUGUGUUCGUUGUUGUAAUGUUGUGGAUUCAUUACAUAUUUUUUUCUUUGCCCGGGAGGCCGGAGCAGUUAUGAUUUGUGUAUUUUUUUGUUUCAGGCUGUUUAGAGCGCAUUAUUUCUUGCAGCAUGGUUUUUUUCUGGUGCAUAUAACAAGGGAGACUUUCAUAGUUGAUGUAGCAGAAGCAGAAAAUCUUCGACAUUUUAAGACCUCUUCUAUGGACUCUGUUCAGAGAAAACACCUUUCCUUUGGGGAUGAUGGAUGCUCAGCUCUAGUGGUCUUAUUCUCUCUGAUGGAAUUUUUUUUUUCUUUUGAUUGACUUUGUGGACAUCAGUGGUGAAGAUUUACGGGGUUUCUUACUAAUAAUGUAUUCACCAAAAUUAUUGCAGAGUUCUUUAUUAGCUGUAUAUAGUUAUGAGAUGUUGUGGGUAUUAUAGUCAUUUUAUGUGUCUACACCACUCUGUCUUGGUCAGCAAACGGGCUGCUAAUAGAUUAGUGUGAUCUCAAAUUAAAAACUUUUUAGAGUGGUUUAUGCAAAUUGCAUAACGUUGAUGUGUGGUUUUGACAAAUCCCCCUGAAGUCUUCUGGCUUAAUGGUUUAGCUUCGGACUUGAUAUGCUAAAAUUGUUGAUUACAUUCAUCUAAUUUACAUCAUGAUUUACUAUUAUUCCAUCAAUCAGAAUAUAUAUUAUUAUGCAAAAUAUUUUUUAUUAAUAAAAAAUAAAUUUUAUUGAUAAAAGAAGAAUUACACAAAGCUAGAGGACAAACGCGAUACAAACUGUGUUGCAAGCCCUACAUAUUCAUUAGAACCCGUCGUCAUCACAUUUGUAUUCAUAACCUUCUGCACCCUCGUGAGAAGUUCAACUGCUUUUGGUGUUAGAAACCCAAAAGUGUUAAAAGCAAAAAAAAAUAAAAUAAUAUUGGUUCGCUGCACAUGCUUCCUCUUUAGUUAUAUUAAAAAAAAUUGAAGAAAAUUUUGAUUAAAUUUGGGUAUAUUUACAUAGGUCGUGUUUGUUCUCUGGGAAAAAACCCGGAAAGUAAACGCACAUUAGCAAUUUUUUGUUGAUUUGCCUUUUCGAGAGUGCUUGGUAAUCCGAGUUGUGUGUGGGUCUCUCUGUAAAAAAAAUCUUAUAAAACGCAAAACACGUUAGCAAAUAAUACUGUUUUCAUAAACCCGAAUUUUUACGUAAAACAAUAAAUCUGGUCUCUCACUUGUGGUCCCCAGGGUUUUAUAUCUUGCCACGUCUCUUUUCCCAUUUUAUAGUUAGGUUAAACCAAGCAGCAUUACUGGUAAUAAAUACUCCCUCUGUCCCAAAUUAUAAGUACCUUUUGGAAUAUUCUACUUAUUAAGGAAACAUCAUUUAUUAUUUGUCUAUUAAGAGCAUUCCCAAUGAUAGGUUUUAGCACACUUUUAGUUAACUUUUAGUGAAAACAGUUGCCAAUGGUAGCUUUUAACACACUUUUCAAGCAAAACACUUUUAACUCCUUGGCAAAUUUGCCAAGGAGUUAAAAGUGCCACGUAGGAAUCCAUCCGCCACAAUUAGUGCGGUAUGGACUCAUCUAAAAGAAGAUCCAUCUGCCACAAUGAGUGCGGUAUGGAUCCAUCCGCCACAAUGAGUGCGGUAUGGAUCCAUACCCCACAUAGAUUGCGGUAUGGAUAAUCCACCAUUGGAAACACUAAAACCCUUUUUUCGCUAAAACCAUUGAAAACCCCAAAAUUCCUUAAAACCAUCCUAUGUGGCACCACUAAAAGUAUUUUACCAUUGGGAAUGCUCUAACUAUACUUCCAAAUUUACUCCUAUUUAAUGGAUUUUAUUUAUUAAACAUAGUCUCUUACUCUAAUUCCAAAGCAAGGGUAAUAUAGGUAAUAGAACAAUUUAACUUAAUUAAUGGCUGUGCUUGUUUCACGGUAAUUUAUGGAAAACAAAGAUUUACACAGAUUUUUUGAGUUCUGUUUUACUUUUGUUUUGUAAGAAAACGGCCGAUGUAUGCUUGUUAAUCAGUUGCAAAAAAUCCGGAAAACUGUAGAGAGAGGAGAGAAGAGACUAAAAUAAAUAAAAAUAAGAGAGAGAAAGUCAGAGAAGAGAGAGAAAGCGAGAGAGAAGCCGUUUUCCAAAUUAAUCUGGUUAUAACAAACCCGAAAUAUAUGAUGAGGUGUUUUAUCUGUUUUACAAAGUUUUCCGUGGACCCUAUAUAAUUUGGUGUACCACCAAGCACGCUGCAAAUAAGUAAACUUUCUAAAAUUCUGACGUGUCAUUGUUUUCAGCAGAGUUUCCCCGUGAAACAAGCACAGCCAAUAUGUAUUGAAAUAUGAAAAUGGACUUAUAUUUUGGGACAACCCAAAAAAGAAUAAGGUACUUAUAAUUUGGGACGGAGGGAGUAAAAACUUCUAAAAAAACUCUUACCUCGUUUAAAAAUAAAAAAGUUCUCCAUUUAUGUUUCCCCAAAAUUUUCGGGGAAACAAGCACAACCAUAAAGGUAAACUACCUAUCACGGAUAUAAUCAAGUCCAGUUGAACUAAAUCACGCGUAUAAAUAAAAUAAGCCCAAUCCAAAACAACUUAAAAUAGACCCUCUAAGCACUAGUCAAAACUCAAAAGUAUAAUCAAAUUCUGAGUUAGAGUUCAAUUAAAAUUCCCUUUUAUUAUAAAAGAGUUCAAUUGAAAUUCAAAGAGCAGGCAUUAUAUAAAUACUGUAUUAGGAACUUGCCAUUGUAUAUCAUAGAGGAAGAAGAAGGAAGAAACAGAAUGUCAUCGUCGUCAAAUAUCUCCAAUUCCUUGCCAUUGGAUAUCAUAGAGGAAGAAAUACUGACAAGAUUACCUGUCAAGUCUCUUAAGCGAUUUCAGUGCGUAUCUCAAUCAUGGAACAAUCUUAUUAGAAAUCCUCUCUUUGUCAGUAAGCACCUUAUUAUUAAUCAAUCUAAAGGCGCACAAAUCUUAGUUAAUCGAUCGACAGGUACACAAAUCUUAGUUAAUCAAAUCAUGAGCUACAACCCUUGUGAUUAUCAAAACUACACUUCUGAUUAUUCUCUUUUGGGCUUCUGCAAUGGUUUGCUAUGUGUUAAAGUUUUGACAACGUCGAGGAUAAUAAUAUGGAAUCCAGCAUCUAAAGAAAACAUAAUCUUGCCGCAGAAAAAAAUUCCUAAUAGUAGCCUUGAAGAAGAAUGCUAUGGCUUUGGUUAUGAUGCAAAAUCUGAUGAUUACAUAGUUUGUCAUUAUUUGGAGGCUUUUUUCAACAUAUACUCAGUAAGAGAAAACUCGUGGAGGAGAAUCGAAGAAUUUCGUUAUAAGAUUAUCUAUAGAGUAUAUGGAACUUUUCUUUCUGGUUCUAUCUAUUGGUUAGCUGCUCACAAACUAAUUAAAUCUAGUAAUUACUUCAUAAUCGCUUUCGACUUGGUUGACAAACAAUUUCGUGAGCUGCCCUUGCCUCAAUACCAAGAAAACAAAAAUUUAAAUCAUAUUGUUCUUGAUACCUUAGAUGAAUGUCUUUGUUCACUUCGCCGAAUUAACAUAAAACAGGUUGAGUUAUGGACGAUGAAGGAAGAUGGUUUACAGACAUCUUGGACAAAGUUGUAUACAAUUAGGAUGGAUAGACCACUCAUGGAGUCAAAGCUCUUAUACUAUAAUGCUGCAAGUGCAAAUCUUUUGCUAAAAGAUGGCUAUACCAUUAUUUUUUAUGACACAAAGGAGAGAAAUGUUAUUAGGAAGAGGACGAAGAGCUUAAAUAUUACAGAACAUGAUAUGGGUGCACUCACUUACUUUGAGAGUCUUGUUUCACCAGUGGUGCAUGGUUGCUUAGUAAAUAAUUAUGCAAGGAAAUCUCUAUUCCAAGAGAACAUGUAUGAACAUGUCUUAAAAUUCUCCUUUACUACUAAUGAAGGAUCUUAUCAAUGUAACCUUGUUACUUAUGAAAAGACUCCUCCAAAAGAAAACAUAUGACCAGUUUGUAGCGCCACUGUUUCUACUCUGGUGUAAUUUCUCGAGUUUAUGAAGAAGCAAGAAGCCCUUGACAUUUUAAGACCUCUUCUGUGAACUCUGUUCAGAGAAAAUACCUUUCGUUUGAGGACGAUGGAUCGUUUGAAUACAGUGUUGGGGAGGAGAAGGGUAUUACUGCGGUUGCGUCAUCAUUCUCCUACUCGCAUCCAUCUUAUGCUCGAUCAGCUCUAGUGGUCCUAUUCUUUCUGUGGUGUAAUUCUUUUUCUUUUGAUUGACUUUGUAGACAUCAGUGGUGAACCAACGGGGUUUCUUAGCGAAUAAUGUGUUUGGGAUAUGAGCGGACAGAUGUUAUUGGACAUGCUAAGCAUCUACUUUAUAAGUUUAAACAACCUGACAACAUCCCCAGGGUGACGGCCAUUACCAUUCUUCGAUGUGCAGGCCACAUUGAAGAUGCUACCUGGUUUUUUUCACCAGAGUUUGAUUGAGAAGGAGAUUAAUGGUCGAUCUCUUGUCAUUGAACAUGAACCGUGCGAUUGUGAUUAAGGUGUUUGUGAUUAACCGUGCUGGUAGUUUUCUGAAUGCUUUUGAAAGUUGCCUGAAUUCAAGAAGGUGGAGCUUCUGUAUUAUGACUGAGGAGAGGCAAGAAGAGGGUUGUGUUUCCUAAAGAAGUACAGUUCAAAAUGCUAAGCCUAUUUAGUAAAAGGGGAGUGAAUUUAGUUGUUUGAGGCAGUUGAUUCGUCGUUUGAGACUUGAGAGCAUGGUGUUUGAUCCCAGUGUAAACAACGGAAUUUAAUCUUGUGGUUUCUAGCCAUUUUCAAAGAAGAAGUAAGUGACUUAGAAGUCCGGGAUGUGAAACGGACUUACGGAAGCAUUCUCAUCAUGAAGACACGAUAAUGGAUACUCUUACAAUCAUAAUGGCCAGUUGUGAAUUUUGUGGAUGCAUGUUUUGUACAUUUAUAUCCACUGUAAACACUCACCUUUAGUUAAUCCAAUCUCGUGCUUUUAGAUUGCUGUUUUGCUGCUCAGUGUAUUCUUUGUUUUCUUGGAUACAUAAUUUGUAUGCAGCAAGUAAAAGAUUAGAGUACUACGUAAUGCUUAAUUGUUCAGUUAUUUGCCUUACAUUUCCUUGUUUCAGUCUUAAUAUCGCUUAGCAAUUUUCCCCUUUUCUCUUUAUUAUUUGGUUGCUAUCUCAGCUGUCAGUAAAAAUGUUGGAGUGCUACUUUGGUGUGGGUUUCCUGCCAAUUUGGCACUACUUUUCUUCUAGUGCCGUGCCCCUUGAGCCUUCUGGCUUCAUGGUUUUGCUUCUAGUUUUUCCAAACUUGAUUCGGCUAUAAUUGUUAAGCACUUGACUGCUAAUCCUUUUACGGUUUAGUUUCAAACACAGGCUCUAGACAUCUUCGCUCAGUUAGCAACGGAGAAUACAUUAAAGCUGGUUUACAGGAAUUAGAACAAUGGUGCACGACAGCAACAGAGCAGGUAUGCUCAUCAUGUUGAGAUACUAUUGAUCAAGCAACAUGGAAACAAAGCACGUUUUCUUUUAGGGUCUGUUUUAUUCGGGUGGGAAAAUAAUUUAUCAGAAAAUAGAUUUACCAUAUACAAAUAUUUAGAAAAUAAAAUUUUCUUAUAAUGACUAUAGUGCUAUAUUCAAGAAUUUGGAUAUGCAAUUUUUUGUUUUCUCUCUUCUUAAUCGUUCACAUCUUUUCAAACAAUUACUUCGAAUUGGUUUGGGGUUUCAAUUUUUUUUUCUUUUAAUUCUAACUGAUGAAAAUUAAUUUUUCCAAGAAGGUUAGUGCCUUAGUGGCCUUUUUCUUUUGUUAUUGGUACCUUUAAUUCAAGUUGUAUAUCAUGGUCUGUCACUCUAUCUUAUUACAAAUUAAGCCUUAGUUUGCGGUUCACAUAUGUACAAAUACAAAAUUAUCCUUUUGAAUCCUAAUCAAUUAAGCUACCAGGAGAUAUAAGUGCCAUGACGUACUUUGGCAAGCUAGAGAGUGUAGAAGUGGGCGCAAGGCAUUUGUGGACGAGACAAGAUUUUUUUUUAAUCAUCUGAUUAUCUAAAGCAAUGCAAUACAUUAAGUAAUCAGUAUAUCUUAAAGGCGAUAUAUAAACAAUUCAUCAACUAUGGAAACCCUAGAAUCAACUGCAGAUAGAUGACUUUAUCACCAUUUCAAUCUGAGUUUGGAACAUAUGUUUAUAACCUUGGCAGAAGGGCAAUGUCUCUUUGUCAUUUUAUUUUCUAAUGAAAAAAAUUUCUUGUAACAAUUCGGCUUGGAAGUUAGGACCCAAGCCCAAGUUUCUAUUUGCUCAACCGGAUUUUGGAUGCUUCGGUCAUCCCAGUUUCACUCACCGGUUCGGUAUGCAACGGGCGAUUCUUUGUUACUCAAAACACUUCUUUUUACACUUAAUUAAUAAAAGGGAGGGGUGGGUUCCAGGGACUCAGGAAAUGUUUGACUCAAUUUUGACUCAAUCCUAUUUAAGGUACUUUUACAUAUUGGAUUGACAUGAUUUUGGGUAGAUAUGAUCUCCUUAGUGUAAAGAUCUACUUUGAAAAGUUAACUAAUUUAGACAACCAACUUUAAAUCCUUCUAAUUUAGGCAACAUACUUUCAAUUUGUUCUCAAUUUUGGCAUCCCAACUUUUUUCGUUAAAUUUUUUUAACUACACCGUUAACCCAUGCUGACGUGGAUAUUUUUUGUCCACAUGUCAUGUGGGACUUUGCUGAUGUGGCAAAUUUUAUUUGAAAAAAAUAAAUUUUUUUUGCAUCACAUUGAAAUUAAUUGCUUAAAAAAAUAAUUAACUUUAAUUCAGGGAUCAAUUAUUGAGUUGAUAAUAAUUGUUUCAAACUGUUUGCAGCGUCUAAGUAUACAGAACACCAACAAUUGUUCCAUGAUAAAGGCUCCCAGCUGUAGUGGAAGGACCUCUGCACAAGUUAUUCGACAUUCAAUAGCGAAGGAGAUGGGUAUACCUGACUCUCAAGUCCCCUAGAGUUCGAUUUAUCUUGGAAUAUAUAAACCUAAAAAGAAAGUUCCACGAAGGCCUGAUUUGCUUCUAAGUGUUCCCUAGAUACUAUUUUUCUUUUUAUAUUCUUAGCUUUGUUGUAACGAAUGAUAUUCUUAAAAGAUAUUCACACAUCUUUCGAUAAAUACUUGAAUAGGAAAGAGUUAAUCAGUCCAUCUUGUCAAAUCCACACUUACAGGCAACUUUUGAUGAUAUCGUGGUUGAGGUGCGGAUGCAUUAUUAUCUGAUUUUAUGCAAUUUUUCUGUAUGGGAAUAUUUCUUUAUUAUACAUUGAUUUAAUUAUGAUUUAUUAAAUAGGUUCUCGGGAAAGAUAGUAGGGGUUGCAUGAAAGCGAUGGGUGCAGGUGUCAGCAAAACUUCUCUAAAGGCCAUAACUCCACUGCUGAAGAGGUAUGAAAAAGAGGCACAGACGAUUGCUGAAUGGAAACAACAAGUAGAUGGGAAGUUUGAUGGCCUUUAAGCUCAAAUAGUGCAACUCAACCGUGCAGUUCAAACAGGAUCAGGUAGGAGACCGCCCAUACUUGUUGGUUCAAGUUCACAAAUGCAAGUGGAAGUUAAUACGGUACGCUUUGUAAUUACAUAUGCAACCAGAUACAUGCCAGUAGAUAUCAUUUUUCCUCUUAAAAAACUUUGUUUAGGAUUUUGAUUAUUUGUGAAAUAAAUAAAGUUGUUAGUAUUCCUUUGUCUAUCUUACCAUCACACAAAGUUACAAACAUAGACUUUACUAUUGCUUAUAUGUUAGUGGCACAUAUGUCAGUGACUUUAUAACUUGCUUUUGUUUCCGUAAAUAGUCAAUUUCAUCCAAUUCUAUAAAUUUGCUGUAAUGUGUCUUGUGUCUUUUAAAAUUAUAACUAUUAUAGGACAUCCUAUUGUGUUUAAUUCUUUUAUAGGACAUCCAAUUCUAUAAAUUUGUUGUAGUGUGUUUAGUUCUUUUAUAACACAUCCUAUUGUAGUGAAUAAACUGUUAUUACAAUCAUUUGACCUUCUAAGUUUUUUCCUGGUUGCUUGUGAACUUUUCUGCCGGUUAUGUGAACCAUCAUUAUACCAUUUACUUUACAUUUUGCUUGUAGAUUUAUCCAUUGCUUACUCUUUUAAUUUCCCCCCUGAAGUAGUCUAAUUUUUUUGAUAGACUAUGAUUGUUUUGUAAACAAACUACCAUAAUAUUGUUUCAGGAGGUUAGUUUGUUUGGUGGUUGUCAUUUCCAAGUCGUCGCAAAGGGAAAGGUGAAAGAUGUUAACCCAAACUCCAAGUGUGCAAGAUGCCUAGGAGAAGGAAAUUUCUUAGUUUACAUUGAGUGUACGUUUAUACCACAUGCUUUGUUGCCAUGCCCUCAUGAUGAAUGGUGUACGACUUUGGGACAGAUUGGGCAGGGAUUUGUAAUUUGGCCGAAGAUGUGCCUCGAGUUUCAUCACUAGCAAGGUUUGUUGUUAAUUCUUUUAUGAUAAAAUUGUUUAAUCAAUGUUGGUAAGCAAGUCUGACAAGGGUAUUUUCAAAUAUAAUUUUCAGUCUUCUUUCAAACAAAACCAGUUUCGUUGGAUUUAAUAGGUUUUUGCCUUAAAAUUUUCAAAUAUCUGUCUUAAAUUUUUUAAUAUUUGUAACUGAAAUUUGAUAAGUUCUUGCCUUAUAUUUUCUCGAGAUUUGCAUAUAUAUUUUCUCGAUAUUUGCAUAAGUACUUAAGAUAUGAGGUAGAUAGGAGCUGAGGACAACACUUUGCUCCCAACUGGUAUAGAGCGAAGGUUUUUCGUGUUUUACUAUACAGUACUAUCACUAUGCCUUGUAAUUGUUACUAGCUUUUAGUUUUUAUAGCCUGCGGGACAAUCAUAAAAUAACAAGUUAUAUACAGUAAUUAACCAAAAAUCAUUUACAAUAUGUUAUGUUUUUUUGUAAACAAAAAUUAAAUUCUGAUUUUUGAAAUAAAAUCGUUGAAGAAUACAUUUAUAAGUUACAAAGUGGUUGUUAUGAAAAAAUGUUUGACGUCUCCGUAUGGCCGUAUGUUCAUUAUUUUUACCUACUGCUUAAUGUAGAACUGGGAGACGUUGGUUGUUGAUGCGUGGUAGGGGUGACUGCUCUCUGCUCUCUGUUUAAUGAUUGACUGUCAUUAAACAGAGAACACAACCUACUUUCUUUGUCAUUGGGGCUGUCAUUCUACUUAUUGAGUUAUUUAUGAAUUCGACCCCAAAGAUUGGUCUGCGAUCAAUCUUCAAACCCUAAAAUAAACUGGAACCCUAUUUUAAGGUUGGUAUCUUGUUCAUUGAGUGAAGUCCAUCAUGGACACAUGAGCUUCAAAGAUAGAAAGAACUGGAUUUUGUUGAGUGGAAGUUGAAGCACUUGUCACUUCUGGAAUCUCUGCUUGAAAGACAUGCUAGAUUACUCAGAAUACCCUGCAGCCAUGUCCAAUCCCCUUUUCAUCUAUAUAUGAAGAGAAAAGGAUCCGGGUUUUUCCAGUAUGUGCAUUUGGAGCAUGCAAUUUAGGUUUGAUGAGGUUUUCCUUGGUUUGUGGGUCACAUACACGUUGCAUAAUGUGUGUUUAUAGAGGAAAAAGUAGGCCAUCUUCUACAUAAGCUGUUUUGAAUAAAGAGUCGUUGUUUGGUAGUUAGGCGUGCUGCUAAUUCUAUGGUCCAUAUGUGUUGUCAAUCUAGGAAAUUGGUUUAUGUAAUUUGUACUUGCUUUAAAAAAUCUCCACAUGUAAGUAUGCUUGAUAGUUUUGAUGGUUCCAAUCCAUGUCUAUUUGAUUUCACAAAGUACUUUUAUUUGUUCUUAAUAUUGAGAGGGCGAUCAAAACAAAGUUGGAGGGUGAAAUUCAGAGUUUCAUUCUCUGCAGUUCUCCUCUUGUUUACACUUCACCUAGCUGAUAAUAUUAUCACAUCCCCUUAUAUGAUAAGUUACCUAAUAAUUGGGAUGAAGAUAUUUGUGGUUGCUUCUUGUCCUGGUCUCGUCACUUUAUUUCUCACGCACAACGUACAUGUAGUUGCUUGACUUUCAUUAACCAUUAUUAGUAAGAAUUAAUUCUUUUGAGUUUUGCACUCUAUUCUUACUCUGUUGUAUAAUGGCAGUACAGAACCUUCUAUUCAUUGAGAACAUGGAGAAAAGGAUUCAGAGUGCAAGCUUAGUGUUUUUACCUACUGCUUAAUGUAGAACUGGGAGACGUUGGUGGUUGACGUGUGGUAGGGGUGACUGCUCUCUGUUCACUAGAAACAAACCAAUAUUGCUGCAGACCAAAGGAAGGGAUUUGUAGGAUAGCUUUUGAUGGUUGCGAACUGUUGCAAGAACGUAAUUGUUUUGAACUCCAUUUUAUUUCAUUGGUGUAAUUGUUUCAAAGUUGAUGACAUACAUGUUGUUGUUGUAACUAUUUAUUUUGGAGUUUUGUCUUAAAUGUUUGAGAAGAUAAAGUAAAAUGUUUUCUCUUUUGGAAUUGCAUCAGGCACUGACAGUACUGAAAUAUUGAAAAUGUGAAUGUAGGAAUUUUUUUUUUUUUUUUUUUUUUAUUUCCAAAAUGUUAUUCGCCACUGUCCUUGGCAGUGGCAAUUUUGGGUUUUUGCCACUGCCAUGGGCUGUGACAAAGUAUUUGCUACCCCACUUGUUGCCACUGCCAGAAGCAGUGGCAAAAGGCCUUUAGCCACUGCUUAGAGCAGUGGCAAAUACUUGGUUUUCUAGUAGUGUUCUAAUAACUCGACAAGAAAUUUUUGUUCUUUUUUCCUAUAUACUUAUCCAAAACAAUACAUUACAUCAAGUAAUCAGUAUAUCUUCCAAAUGAUAUCAUCAACUCAUCACCAGAUAGAAGACAUUAUCACCAUUUCAAUUUGAGUUGAGUAUCAAUAAUUUCACACUAUAUGCUUCUCAGUUGGUGUCAAUUCAUUGGCCAAUUCCAUGGUGACACCACCAGUACCCUUCUAUCUAUACCAACUAGCACAUACUAGAAAAUAUCCGAAAUUGAGAAUGCCUAAGGCAACAAACAGGUAACAAAGCAAUCCAGUCUUCCUUUUGACAAGAAACCUUUUUUUACUAUUCCAUUUGCUUAGCUAACACA